CACGUAGGGGGCGAGCGUUGUCCGGAUUUAUUGGGCGGAAAGAGCUCGUAGGCGGCUUGGUAAGUCAGGUGUGAAACCCCCGGGCUCAACCCGGGGACGCCACCUGAUACUGCUAUGGCUUGAGUCCGGUAGGGGAGCGUGGAAUUCCUGGUGUAGCGGUGAAAUGCGCAGAUAUCAGGAGGAACACCAGCGGCGAAGGCGGCGCUCUGGGCCGGUACUGACGCUGAGGAGCGAAAGCCAGGGGAGCGAACGGG
This 254-nucleotide ribosomal RNA is filed under the name uncultured bacterium. Its description in RNAcentral is "partial 16S ribosomal RNA". It matches the Rfam family "Bacterial small subunit ribosomal RNA", at positions 524 to 776 of the family's 1533-position model. The record is from RNAcentral.